Molecule: long non-coding RNA, 1393 nt
Organism: Ailuropoda melanoleuca (giant panda)
Lineage: Eukaryota; Metazoa; Chordata; Mammalia; Carnivora; Ursidae
Exons: 3
Source: RefSeq, a predicted model, not a curated record
AGAUUCCCCUCUGAGCACAGAGCCUGACGCUGAGCUCUAGCUCACGACCCUGAGAUAAUAACCUGAGCUGAAAUCAAGAGUUGGAUGCUUAACCAACUGAGCCACUCAGGCACCCCUCACUCUCUGUUUCUUGGUCAUGCCAUUAUCUGUUCCUGAUAUUUUAGCCAUUGAGAAGAAAAAAUGUUUAAAGCUGUGGCUAAAUAUACUUCCCUUAGUAAAAAGGUUUACAGCUAAGUGAAAAGGGGAUAAAAGAAAAUCAUAAUGCUUAUAGAACAGUUCAGUAUUGAGUAAAGGAAAUAAUGAAUAAAAGAAAAAAAGACUAAUGAAGUCAGACACCAUUUACAAAAUUCACCUGAGAUUUAUUGCAUAGCAUGUUUUAGGAAGGUAUGUAGACACAGUAAUUUUGGUGGGUAAUUUGCUUUCUCAUUGACUUAUUUAGUGUUCUGUAUAUUGUCUGUUGCUGCAUAGCUAAUUAUCCCCAAAACUUUUCAGCUUUAGACAACAAACAUGUAUUAUCUCAGAGUUUUCUAGGGUCAGGAAUAUGGGAGUAGCUUGGCUGCAUGUUCUGGUCAGGGUCUCAUAAAGUUAUAGUCAAACUGCUGGUCAGGACUGUAACAUUUCAAGGCUCAACUAGGGCUGAAGGGAAAGUUCACUUAUGUGAUUGUUGAUGACUUCAGUUCCUCAUGGGUUUUCUGCUAGCAGCUGCCCUCAUUUCCUCGCCAUGUGGGCCUCUCCAUAGAGCAGCUUUUAACAUAGUGGCUGGCUUCCCCUGGGACAAGGGAGGAAAAGGGAUGGAGGGAGAAAGAGUAAAUAAAAUGGAAACCACAGUACUGUUUUUGUGAACGAGUCUUCACAGUUGCAUAUUAUAACUUCUGCUUCGACUACUGGUUAGAAGAGUCACUCAUGAGAGUUCGUAGAGUUAUUUUUAAAACCACCACAUUUCCUUAAUAAGUUCUCAUCUGCAACAAAUGUGUGUGCAUACACACAUGUGAGUGCCUUUACUUACCCUGGUAUUACAUUUGAGAAUUUUGAAUUUGAUUUUUCACAUGACUUUCCUCUCAGGGAAAUAAAGUUUUCUCACUUUAUCAGUCUGAAGGAAGAAGAAACAACAAUAGAAAAGCGGUGUAUGGAUUUUUGUUAUGUAUUAAAGUGGACUCUGAAUCUAAGGAAAUGUUUAGGUUUGAAAAUUGUUGAAAGUAGUGUGAAGAUUUGGAAUUUGUCAUUCUUUUAGUUUCAUUGGUGAGGAAUCUGUGGCAGCUGGGGAAAAAAGUGUCUUAACUGACAGCCCUACAUGGAUCAUUGACCCUAUUGAUGGAACAACGAAUUUUGUACAUAGAUUUCCUUUUGUAGCUGUUUCGAUUGGCUUUACUGUAAAUAAAAAGAUGGAAUUUGG